This 86-nucleotide transfer RNA is filed under the name Armatimonadota bacterium. RNAcentral describes it as "tRNA-Leu". It matches the Rfam family "tRNA". Rfam says of the family: Transfer RNA (tRNA) molecules are approximately 80 nucleotides in length. Their secondary structure includes four short double-helical elements and three loops (D, anti-codon, and T loops). Further hydrogen bonds mediate the characteristic L-shaped molecular structure. tRNAs have two regions of fundamental functional importance: the anti-codon, which is responsible for specific mRNA codon recognition, and the 3' end, to which the tRNAs corresponding amino acid is attached (by aminoacyl-tRNA synthetases). tRNAs cope with the degeneracy of the genetic code in two manners: having more than one tRNA (with a specific anti-codon) for a particular amino acid; and 'wobble' base-pairing, i.e. permitting non-standard base-pairing at the 3rd anti-codon position. The record is from RNAcentral. Lineage: Bacteria; Bacillati; Armatimonadota. RNAcentral also lists the same sequence under 1 other name.
GCCCAGGUGGUGAAAUGGCAAACACGCUAGUUUCAGGAACUAGUGCCCGUACGGGCUUGGAGGUUCGACUCCUCUCCUGGGCACCA